This is a long non-coding RNA of Lactuca sativa (garden lettuce), 1759 nucleotides long. RefSeq lists it as uncharacterized. Lineage: Eukaryota; Viridiplantae; Streptophyta; Magnoliopsida; Asterales; Asteraceae. The record is from RefSeq and is a predicted model, not a curated record.
CCAUAGUUUCCAUUAUGGCAAACUUCUAAAUGAAGUGGGUAUUUAAGGGUCCCGUAACCCUAACCCUAGGGACCAUAUUUGCAGCCGCCAUCUCCUUCCUCAUUUCCGGCAGCCGCCUCCACCAUUGAAGCCUCCUCAGCCGUUGUUGGCAUCGCCGGGUCCGAAAACCGUCAUUCCACUUUGCUGCUGCCAUCGACGUCAUUUCUGACGAGUAGAGAAGUUGAGAAGCGCUGGAGCAUCCAAUGCCGUUGCUGAUCCAAACUGCCGACGAGGAGACGUCGAGGAAAUGUCCCAGUCUCCGCUACCAGCCGUCAUCGCUGUUUGUUGCGGCAGAAGAGAGACAUCGACGGUGAGACGUCGAGUGUGUGCAGGGGCUGGCCAUGGCCGCCGUUAACUGGUUCUGCUUCAUGUUAUUUCGUUCAACGCCAUCCGCUGUCAUGGCCGCCGCCGUUGCCAACUUUCUUGUGCUGCUGCCUUCGCUACCCACCUCAGUGGGUGUUGGAUGUAUUUUUUGCGCAAGGGAUGUGUGUUUGUGUACUGUGAUGGGAUGAGGCCGCUAGAGUGUCCUUUGGCCGGAGAUCCAAAGAAACCACCACCGACACCACUAUAGGGUGGUGGCUACCACCAUGUUCGGCCGCCAGCCGCCAUAAGGUGGCUAUGUGUGUGUUAUUUAUGAGUGUGUGUAGCUUAGUAUGUGUUCAGGUAUCGUGUUGUAAUAUUGUAAUCGAUCAGAAUAGUAAGAAAACUCUAAACCACCACCGUAAGGUGGUGGCUGCUGCCUCUUGCCGCCACUAACCGCUGUGUUGGGUGGCGGUGUGCCUCGUUUGCGUUUUGACUCGUUUGGGGAUGCUUGGACAAAAUGGGCCCAAUGAAACCCUAAUGGGCUCAAUGAAGCCCUAACUGACCUAAAAGCCCAACCAUUUGAUUAAUGAGUUGGUAUUUGGGUUGGAAACCCUAAUUAGGGUUUGGAAAACCCUAAUGGCAUAAAACCCUAAUUUUGGGAAAUUAUCGGGACCCACACUUGAAUUAAUUACUAAACUGAAAAUGUUAAUUAAUAAUCAUUGGCAAAUUAACCUAAGGUAAUAUUGGACUUAAUGGGUUAAGUAGGAACACUUAACCCUAAUUGUCAUUUCGUGUGAAAACCCUAAUUUCACUUAGGCCUUGAGUUGGGCCUUCCUAUUGGGCUUUGAUGAUUGGACUAUUGAUGGGCUUUCCAAGAAUAAGUAAAUGGACUAAAAUAAUUGGAUAGGCCUUAGGAUAAGGCUCAUGUGAAGGACUUGGGCCCAAUUUGUAAAAAAUUGGGCCAUAGAUGGGCCAUAACUAGGCCUUUAUGAUUAUGUGAUAUUGGGCCGUGGGAAUACCUUGGACUAGAAUAAUUGAACGAGCCUUAAGGAAAGACCAUGUAGAGGUUUGGUCCCAAUUUAGAAAAUUGGGCCACAUGUUGGGCUUUGGCCCAUUACUUGACUUUUGGGUCUUGGAGUGUGAGAUGGACCUUGGGCUUGGAACCCAAUUAUUAAUUGGGUAUUGUUUGAUGUUGACAGUUCGGGAAUCUGUCAACUAGUAGCUGGAGUUUUAUCUGCGGGACUUCAGCAGUGCCAGGUACAUCAGGGGAUCGCGGCAAGGCGAAAGCAUGAUCGUACAGCUCCUCAUGUUUAGUUUAUGUUUCUGGGAAAACUCUGAUAUUAUACAUUUUGAAAACAAAAAGAUGUAAUGAUUUUUAAUGGGUUGAAAUGUUUUUAAAAGUUCAAAUUUGAUAUUA